UGGAUACUCCCUCCGUCCGGAAAUACUUGUCAUCAAAAUGAAUAAAAGAGAAUGUAUCUAGAUGUAUUUUAGUUUUAGAUACAUUUCUUUUUGUCCAUUUUGAGUAUUUUCGGAAGGAGGGAGUACAAU
Molecule: non-coding RNA, 129 nt
Organism: Triticum aestivum (bread wheat)
Lineage: Eukaryota; Viridiplantae; Streptophyta; Magnoliopsida; Poales; Poaceae
Source: Rfam